UGGCGACUAGCUCAAUGGAAGAGCCUCAGCUCGAUGAGCAGGAGGAUCUCAGUUCGAACCUGGAGUUGCCCA
Molecule: transfer RNA, 72 nt
Filed under: Fulvia fulva CBS 131901
Lineage: Eukaryota; Fungi; Ascomycota; Dothideomycetes; Mycosphaerellales; Mycosphaerellaceae
Description: tRNA-Ile (GAT) (tRNA-Ile-GAT-3-1)
Rfam family: tRNA
About the family: Transfer RNA (tRNA) molecules are approximately 80 nucleotides in length. Their secondary structure includes four short double-helical elements and three loops (D, anti-codon, and T loops). Further hydrogen bonds mediate the characteristic L-shaped molecular structure. tRNAs have two regions of fundamental functional importance: the anti-codon, which is responsible for specific mRNA codon recognition, and the 3' end, to which the tRNAs corresponding amino acid is attached (by aminoacyl-tRNA synthetases). tRNAs cope with the degeneracy of the genetic code in two manners: having more than one tRNA (with a specific anti-codon) for a particular amino acid; and 'wobble' base-pairing, i.e. permitting non-standard base-pairing at the 3rd anti-codon position.
Source: RNAcentral